This 473-nucleotide ribosomal RNA is filed under the name uncultured bacterium. Its description in RNAcentral is "bacterial SSU rRNA". It matches the Rfam family "Bacterial small subunit ribosomal RNA", at positions 355 to 825 of the family's 1533-position model. The record is from RNAcentral.
UCGAGAGGCUUCGGCAAUGGGGGAAACCCUGACCGAGCGACGCCGCGUGGGUGAUGAAGAUUCUCGGAUCGUAAAACCCUGUCAGGUGGGAUGAAAAACCAUUCGGUUAAUACCCGAGUGGCUUGACAGUACCACCAGAGGAAGCUCCGGCCAACUCCGUGCCAGCAGCCGCGGUAAGACGGAGGGCGCAAGCGUUGUUCGGAAUUACUGGGCGUAAAGCGCGGGCAGGCGGUCUGUUAAGUCGUUUGUGAAAAUCCGGGGCUCAACCCCGGAAAUGCAUACGAUACUGGCAGGCUGGAGACUGGUAGAGGCUAGCGGAAUUCCUGGUGUAGCGGUGGAAUGCGUAGAUAUCAGGAAGAACACCUGUGGCGAAGGCGGCUAGCUGGGCCAGUUCUGACGCUCAUCCGCGAAAGCGUGGGGAGCAAACAGGAUUAGAUACCCCCGUAGUCCCUGAGCGGGCUGGCAAGGCGCAU